RNAcentral lists this long non-coding RNA (1858 nucleotides) under Equus caballus (horse). RNAcentral's name for it is "lncRNA (ENSECAG00000033419.2)". Lineage: Eukaryota; Metazoa; Chordata; Mammalia; Perissodactyla; Equidae. The record is from RNAcentral.
CUGGGUAACUGACUCGGAGGGUACUGUGGUCACUUUCUAGAGUGCUCAGCUAGACAUAAACCCUUCCUUGGGAACCCCUCCUGCCCCCUGCAGCUACAGCCACCACUGGAGGGGGCCUCUGUGGCCAUAUAUGCUUCCCCUCACUGAUCAGAUUACCGGACACCUGACCCAAGACGGGCAGCAAUCAGAUUCUCCUGGAAAAUCUGAAGAUGGGACCCACAAUUAGAGUUGGUCAGCUGUGGGAAGCUGAGCUGAAAAGUCACGUAAAAUUGAGGCCAAAGCUGGCACCUUGUCAGACAAAGGAAAGCACAUGCUGACGUUACAGGGGAACACGAACCAUGUGGAGCCAGGGAAGCCAACCUGCAGAGAAUAGGAUGGAGCAGAUACACAGAAGCAGAUCGAUGGCAAAGACCAUGUGGCUCCUGAGAGAAAGAGGGAAGAAGGGCCAGUCCCUGGGAGGUCUGUCCUUCCUGCCUUUGAGCCAACUUGGGUGGAUUUCUCCUUCUUACAACUGAAAGAGCCUUGAGCAGGACAGAGCCAAAGCAAUGCUGACCACCUUUUCAUGUACCUGUUGACCACUUGGAUGUCCUUCUCCAGCGGCUCCAGAGUUUUCACCUGCAAAUGGCCAUGGCAGAGACCCUCAACUGUGACCAGCCAAGUCAAAAACUUUCUCAUGAGCCUGGGACUGAACAUCCACAGGGUAGUCUAAGAUGUGACUAAGUCAAGUACAAUGGCCAUUUGCAGUAAUUCCUGAGAAAUAGCUCACCUGAAUCUAGAGCAAAAAAAGGAACCUCACCCCACAAGUAAGAAACCCCAGAACCUGAACAAGAAUUUGGAAAUCAAAUCUCUAAGGCAAAUCAACUGGGGCAGAAUCCACGAUCAACUCUUUCUGAUUCAGAAGAGAUAACUCGGGCUGGCUCCGUGGCCGAGCGGUUAAGUUUGCGCGCUCCACUUCGGCAGCCCAAGGUUUCACCGGUUCGAAUCCUGGGCGCAGACAUGGCACAGCUCAUGAGGCCAUGCUGAGGAGGCAUCCCACAUGCCACAACUAGAACCCACAACUAAAAAUACACACCUAUGCACCGGGGGGCUUUGGGGAGAAAAAGAGAAAAUAAAAUCUUAAAAAAAAAAUAAAGAUAACUUGAGAUUUUGCUACCCUUCAGUGAGGAAAAGUCAAGCAUGAGAGUUAUAUGUCAAUUAUAACUCAAUAAUAAAAACAAGAAAAACAAAGAAACAAACAUGAGAGACUCUGGGCAGGUGAACUGCAGCUGUGGGCAAUCAGCAGCAUAGCACCCAUUAUGUAACACGUAAUAGUAACUAAGAGUCUGCACUCCAGAGGGCUAUCCUGGGAUUUGAAUCCGGCUCUGACCCUGACUACUGUAUGACCUUGGUCAGGUUCUUCAACCUCUCAAUGCCUGAGAUUCUACAUCUAUAAAACAAAGGUAACAAGAGAACACAUGCUGUAGGAUUGUUGUGAGGAUUAAUUGAGUUAUAUGAGAGGAGUUAAUGCUUAGGACAGCGUCUAGCACGUAAUAAGGAUCCAACAAAAACAAGCUAUUUUUCUUCCUGCUUAUUUAGUAACGUAGGCAGAGAGCUGAUGGUAUGUAAGGCACAUUAUCGCAAACAUCUAUCACCUCUACCCCUGGCGCCUGGCACAGAGUGGGCAUCAGUGGGUUUUCACUGAAUGAAGAAUUGCCAAUGAAUGAGCUUUUGUUCAAGGAGAGAAACCAGAAUGGCAAUUAGAAGUAAGACUUAAACGUCAAGAGGACCAGCCCAGUAAACUCUCUAAUUUAGCAUUCUAUAACAAGAUUAACAUAUCACAGGCAUCUAUUGCUAUGUAUUCAUAAUAAUGAUUCUUAGG